This 483-nucleotide ribosomal RNA is filed under the name uncultured bacterium. Its description in RNAcentral is "partial 16S ribosomal RNA". It matches the Rfam family "Bacterial small subunit ribosomal RNA", at positions 30 to 507 of the family's 1533-position model. The record is from RNAcentral.
UUGAACGCUGGCGGCAGGCCUAACACCUGUAAGUCGAGCGGAUGAAGGGAGCUUGCUCCUGGAUUCAGCGGCGGACGGGUGAGUAAUGCCUAGGAAUCUGCCUGGUAGUGGGGGAUAACGUCCGGAAACGGGCGCUAAUACCGCAUACGUCCUGAGGGAGAAAGUGGGGGAUCUUCGGACCUCACGCUAUCAGAUGAGCCUAGGUCGGAUUAGCUAGUUGGUGGGGUAAAGGCCUACCAAGGCGACGAUCCGUAACUGGUCUGAGAGGAUGAUCAGUCACACUGGAACUGAGACACGGUCCAGACUCCUACGGGAGGCAGCAGUGGGGAAUAUUGGACAAUGGGCGAAAGCCUGAUCCAGCCAUGCCGCGUGUGUGAAGAAGGUCUUCGGAUUGUAAAGCACUUUAAGUUGGGAGGAAGGGCAGUAAGUUAAUACCUUGCUGUUUUGACGUUACCAACAGAAUAAGCACCGGCUAACUUCGUG